This 736-nucleotide long non-coding RNA is filed under the name Ananas comosus (pineapple). RNAcentral's name for it is "long non-coding RNA (ACOM_LNC028925)". Lineage: Eukaryota; Viridiplantae; Streptophyta; Magnoliopsida; Poales; Bromeliaceae. The record is from RNAcentral.
AUAAGAAUAAAUUUUUAAUUGCAUUUAACUCAAUGAAUUAUUUAUAUUUAUAAUAUUUUUUUCACUACAUCGAUCCAAGUAAGAUGUAUAUAAUUAUAGUUAUUGCGUUUUUACUGGCUGUUUCUUGCACAAGUUGAAAAGGGCUUCACAGUUGGUAUUCAAGGGCUCAGGUUUGAAGCAUAUUUUUAAUUAAAUUUAUUUUAAGAAAAAACACGAAGCGGAUAGAGUAUAUAGAGAUAUCAACAGAUCGGGUUCCGUUCAGGGCUAAUUUUUCAAAAACCCGAACUGGAAUCCAACUCCAAAUUUGAAAUCCGAACCCAAAUCCAACGGAUUUUAAAAAUCCAUAUCCAAACCCAAACCCGACCAAAAAUUUGAAAUCUAAACCCGAACCCGAAAUAAUUAUUUCUCUUUUCGCUAUUUCAAAAUAUAUUACAUUAAAUUUAAAUUUUUAAAAUAUAAAUUCAAAUAUAAAUCAAAUUUUUAUAUACAUAUUACAUAUAAUGUAAAAUAAAUUCGGAUACGGGUCAGAUACAGUCAAAAUUUAUAUCCGAAUCCAUAUCCAUCAGGUUUUUGUUUUUUGAUAUCUAUAUCCAACACGAUAUCCAUUUAACAUCGAGCAAAUCCUCUCCAUUCGAGCUCAGAUUCGAAUAAAAUUUAAUGUAUCCGUACCUAUUGACGUCCCUAAGCACACAUUCUUUCUCCAAAAAAAAAAAAUUAUAACAUUUUUUAAUUGUGU